CAACAAUACAAAAAUUCCCGUCUCUUCUAGGUAAGUUCACUCUGAGAGCAAUUAUGGAACAUCCUUCUUUAUGUUUAUUUCAGGUAAAUCAAAUUCAGAAUUUAUUUAUUUAUUUUUUGAGAGAGAGAGAGAGAAUUUUUAAUAUUUAUUUUUUUUAGUUAUCGGCGGACACAACAUCUUUGUAUGUGGUGCUGAGGAUCGAACCCGGGCCACACGCAUGCCAGGCGAGCGCGCUACCGCUUGAGCCACAUCCCCAGCCCUUAUUUAUUUAUUUUUGUUACUAGGAGUUCAACCCAGGGAUGCUUAACCACUUAGCCACAUCCCCAGCCCUAUUUUAAGUAUUUUAUUAGUGACAGGGUCUUGAUGAGUUGCUAAGUGCCUCACUAAAUUGCUGACACUGGCUUUGAACUCACAAUCCUCCUGCCUCAGCCUCCCAAGCCUCUGGGAUUACAGGCAUGUUCAGAAAAUUUGAAAUCAAACAUUAAAAUUAGUAGAAAGUGGUUGAUAGGUGAUUUCAAAUAAUAGUCUAAAUUUCAGAAUCAGUGAGUUACACUUUAGUUAUGUAAAGAUAAAUAAUUUGUGUAAGGUGGACAGGUCCAGAGGCAGGCACAGGGGAAAGGGAGUAGAACAUCUUCACUAGUGUUUCUAAGAAGACUUUGGGGCUGGGGCUGAGCUCAGCGGAAGAGUGCCUACCUGGCAUGCGCUGGGAUUCAGUCCCCAGGACCACAUGCACACAAGAUUUGGUUUUGUUUCAUUGGAUACUGUCGUCCAAGCAUUUAUCUGAAGUCCCCAUGUUCCUGUCCCAGAGGCUGAAAGUCUCUGAGCACUGGAAAGCGAGGGAAGGAAGGAAUAUUUGUUCAGCUUCAACCACAUGCUGGGGCCUGUGAGUUUCAUGCAAAGUCUCUGUUAGGUGAUAUUCUCAUUUUAUAGGUUGAGGGACCCUCAUUUGACAGGUCAAGGUCGUUAUCUCAGCUACCUAGUGAGUGUCAUUUGGAAUCCUUGUGACUCCAAAGUGUGGUGGGACAGGCACCAUCUUCACAGGUGAGACCAACACAAAGGGCUCCUAGCUGGCCUUCUGAAAGGAAGUGACCUCUAUACCUGCAUAAAUGUCAGAAUGUCGGGUUGAUUUCUUUGGAUGUCAGACCGACCCUAAUGAAGACUCCCCCCCGCAGUGCUGGCGUUCAACAGGGGCUUCAUAUGGCAAGAACUCUACCACUGAGGUAUACCCCAGCCCUUUUCAUUUUAUUUUGAGACAGGGUCUCACUUAGUUUCCCAGGCUGGUCUUAAAUUUGUAAUCCUCCUGCCUCAGCCUCCUGAGUAGCUAGAAUCACAGGGACCACCACACCCACCUAAAAACAC
Molecule: long non-coding RNA, 1359 nt
Filed under: Marmota monax (woodchuck)
Lineage: Eukaryota; Metazoa; Chordata; Mammalia; Rodentia; Sciuridae
Source: RNAcentral